This 433-nucleotide ribosomal RNA is filed under the name uncultured bacterium. RNAcentral's name for it is "partial 16S ribosomal RNA". It matches the Rfam family "Bacterial small subunit ribosomal RNA", at positions 29 to 507 of the family's 1533-position model. The record is from RNAcentral.
AACGAACGCUGGCGGCAUGCCUAACACAUGCAAGUCGAACGAGACCUUCGGGUCUAGUGGCGCACGGGUGCGUAACGCGUGGGAACCUGCCCUUAGGUUCGGAAUAACUCCCCGAAAGGGGUGCUAAUACCGGAUAAUGUCUUCGGACCAAAGAUUUAUCGCCUUUGGAUGGGCCCGCGUUGGAUUAGCCAGUUGGUAGGGUAAAAGCCUACCAAGGCGACGAUCCAUAGCUGGUCUGAGAGGAUGAUCAGCCACACUGGGACUGAGACACGGCCCAGACUCCUACGGGAGGCAGCAGUGUGGAAUAUUAGACAAUGGGCGAAAGCCUGAUCCAGCAAUGCCGCGUGAGUGAUGAAGGCCUUAGUGUUGUAAAGCUCUUUUACCCGGGAUGAUAAUGACAGUACCGGGAGAAUAAGCUCCGGCUAACUCCGUG